GCAGCCAUCGUCUAGCGGUUAGGAUCAGAGCCUUCCAAGCUCUUGGCCGGGGUUCGAAUCCCCGUGGCUGCA
Molecule: transfer RNA, 72 nt
Filed under: Candidatus Iainarchaeum sp.
Lineage: Archaea; Nanobdellati; Candidatus Iainarchaeota; Candidatus Iainarchaeia; Candidatus Iainarchaeales; Candidatus Iainarchaeaceae
Description: tRNA-Gly
Rfam family: tRNA
About the family: Transfer RNA (tRNA) molecules are approximately 80 nucleotides in length. Their secondary structure includes four short double-helical elements and three loops (D, anti-codon, and T loops). Further hydrogen bonds mediate the characteristic L-shaped molecular structure. tRNAs have two regions of fundamental functional importance: the anti-codon, which is responsible for specific mRNA codon recognition, and the 3' end, to which the tRNAs corresponding amino acid is attached (by aminoacyl-tRNA synthetases). tRNAs cope with the degeneracy of the genetic code in two manners: having more than one tRNA (with a specific anti-codon) for a particular amino acid; and 'wobble' base-pairing, i.e. permitting non-standard base-pairing at the 3rd anti-codon position.
Source: RNAcentral